GUCUGAAUCAGCUUGUGUGUUAGUGGAAGCGUCUGGAAAGUCGCACGGUACAGGGUGACAGUCCCGUACACGAAAAUGCACAGGUUGUGAACUCGAAGAGUAGGGCGGGACACGUGGUAUCCUGUCUGAAUAUGGGGGGACCAUCCUCCAAGGCUAAAUACUCCUGACUGACCGAUAGUGAACCAGUACCGUGAGGGAAAGGCGAAAAGAACCCCGGCGAGGGGAGUGAAAAAGAACCUGAAACCGUGUACGUACAAGCAGUGGGAGCACCUUCGUGGUGUGACUGCGUACCUUUUGUAUAAUGGGUCAGCGACUUAUAUUCUGUAGCAAGGUUAACCGUAUAGGGGAGCCGAAGGGAAACCGAGUCUUAACUGGGCGUUAAGUUGCAGGGUAUAGACCCGAAACCCGGUGAUCUAGCCAUGGGCAGGUUGAAGGUUGGGUAACACUAACUGGAGGACCGAACCGACUAAUGUUGAAAAAUUAGCGGAUGACUUGUGGCUGGGGGUGAAAGGCCAAUCAAACCGGGAGAUAGCUGGUUCUCCCCGAAAGCUAUUUAGGUAGCGCCUCGUGAACUCAUCUUCGGGGGUAGAGCACUGUUUCGGCUAGGGGGCCAUCCCGGCUUACCAACCCGAUGCAAACUACGAAUACCGAAGAAUGUUAUCACGGGAGACACACGGCGGGUGCUAACGUCCGUCGUGAAGAGGGAAACAACCCAGACCGCCAGCUAAGGUCCCAAAGUCAUGGUUAAGUGGGAAACGAUGUGGGAAGGCACAGACAGCCAGGAUGUUGGCUUAGAAGCAGCCAUCAUUUAAAGAAAGCGUAAUAGCUCACUGGUCGAGUCGGCCUGCGCGGAAGAUGUAACGGGGCUAAACCAUGCACCGAAGCUGCGGCAGCGACGCUUAUGCGUUGUUGGGUAGGGGAGCGUUCUGUAAGCCGUUGAAGGUGGCCUGUGAGGGUUGCUGGAGGUAUCAGAAGUGCGAAUGCUGACAUAAGUAACGAUAAAGCGGGUGAAAAGCCCGCUCGCCGGAAGACCAAGGGUUCCUGUCCAACGUUAAUCGGGGCAGGGUGAGUCGACCCCUAAGGCGAGGCCGAAAGGCGUAGUCGAUGGGAAACAGGUUAAUAUUCCUGUACUUGGUGUUACUGCGAAGGGGGGACGGAGAAGGCUAUGUUAGCCGGGCGACGGUUGUCCCGGUUUAAGCAUGUAGGCGGAACGAUUAGGUAAAUCCGGUCGUUUAUUAACGCUGAGGUGUGAUGACGAGGCACUACGGUGCUGAAGUAACAAAUGCCCUGCUUCCAGGAAAAGCCUCUAAGCAUCAGGUAACAUCAAAUCGUACCCCAAACCGACACAGGUGGUCAGGUAGAGAAUACCAAGGCGCUUGAGAGAACUCGGGUGAAGGAACUAGGCAAAAUGGUGCCGUAACUUCGGGAGAAGGCACGCUGAUAUGUAGGUGAAGCCCCUGCGGGUGGAGCUGAAAUCAGUCGAAGAUACCAGCUGGCUGCAACUGUUUAUUAAAAACACAGCACUGUGCAAACACGAAAGUGGACGUAUACGGUGUGACGCCUGCCCGGUGCCGGAAGGUUAAUUGAUGGGGUUAGCGGCAACGCGAAGCUCUUGAUCGAAGCCCCGGUAAACGGCGGCCGUAACUAUAACGGUCCUAAGGUAGCGAAAUUCCUUGUCGGGUAAGUUCCGACCUGCACGAAUGGCGUAAUGAUGGCCAGGCUGUCUCCACCCGAGACUCAGUGAAAUUGAACUCGCUGUGAAGAUGCAGUGUACCCGCGGCAAGACGGAAAGACCCCGUGAACCUUUACUAUAGCUUGACACUGAACACUGGUCCUUGAUGUGUAGGAUAGGUGGGAGGCUUUGAAGUGUGGACGCCAGUCUGCAUGGAGCCGUCCUUGAAAUACCACCCUUUAAUGGCUGGUGUUCUAACGUAGACCCGUAAUCCGGGUUGCGGACAGUGUCUGGUGGGUAGUUUGACUGGGGCGGUCUCCUCCCAAAGAGUAACGGAGGAGCACGAAGGUUAGCUAAUCCUGGUCGGACAUCAGGAGGUUAGUGCAAUGGCAUAAGCUAGCUUGACUGCGAGAGUGACGGCUCGAGCAGGUGCGAAAGCAGGUCAUAGUGAUCCGGUGGUUCUGAAUGGAAGGGCCAUCGCUCAACGGAUAAAAGGUACUCCGGGGAUAACAGGCUGAUACCGCCCAAGAGUUCAUAUCGACGGCGGUGUUUGGCACCUCGAUGUCGGCUCAUCACAUCCUGGGGCUGAAGUAGGUCCCAAGGGUAUGGCUGUUCGCCAUUUAAAGUGGUACGCGAGCUGGGUUUAGAACGUCGUGAGACAGUUCGGUCCCUAUCUGCCGUGGGCGCUGGAGAAUUGAGGGGGGCUGCUCCUAGUACGAGAGGACCGGAGUGGACGCAUCACUGGUGUUCGGGUUGUCAUGCCAAUGGCACUGCCCGGUAGCUAAAUGCGGAAAAGAUAAGUGCUGAAAGCAUCUAAGCACGAAACUUGCCCCGAGAUGAGUUCUCCCUGAGACUUUAAGUCUCCUGAAGGAACGUUGAAGACGACGACGUUGAUAGGUCGGGUGUGUAAGCGCAGCGAUGCGUUGAGCUAACCGAUACUAAUGAACCGUGAGGCUUAACCUU
This 2635-nucleotide ribosomal RNA is filed under the name Enterobacter roggenkampii CHS 79. RNAcentral describes it as "bacterial LSU rRNA". It matches the Rfam family "Bacterial large subunit ribosomal RNA", at positions 308 to 2925 of the family's 2925-position model. The record is from RNAcentral. Lineage: Bacteria; Pseudomonadati; Pseudomonadota; Gammaproteobacteria; Enterobacterales; Enterobacteriaceae.